RNAcentral lists this ribosomal RNA (305 nucleotides) under uncultured bacterium. RNAcentral's name for it is "bacterial SSU rRNA". It matches the Rfam family "Bacterial small subunit ribosomal RNA", at positions 334 to 636 of the family's 1533-position model. The record is from RNAcentral.
UUCUCCUACGGGGGGCAGCAGUGAGGAAUAUUGGUCAAUGGGCGCGAGCCUGAACCAGCCAAGUAGCGUGAAGGAUGACUGCCCUACGGGUUGUAAACUUCUUUUAUAAAGGAAUAAAGUGAGGCACGUGUGCCUUUUUGUAUGUAUUUUAUGAAUAAGAAUCGGCUAACUCCGUGCCAGCAGCCGUGGUAAUACGGAGGAACCGAGCGUUAUCAGGAUUUAUUGGGUUUAAGGGGAGCGUAGAUGGGUUGUUAAGUCAGUUGUGAAAGUUUGCGGCCCAACCGUAAAAUUGCAAUUGAUACUGG